RNAcentral lists this ribosomal RNA (402 nucleotides) under uncultured bacterium. RNAcentral's name for it is "bacterial SSU rRNA". It matches the Rfam family "Bacterial small subunit ribosomal RNA", at positions 355 to 774 of the family's 1533-position model. The record is from RNAcentral.
UGGGGAAUCUUGCACAAUGGGGGAAACCCUGAUGCAGCGACGCCGCGUGAACGAUGAAGCCCUUCGGGGUGUAAAGUUCUUUCGACAGGAACGAUAAUGACGGUACCUGGAGAAGAAGCUGCGGCUAACUACGUGCCAGCAGCCGCGGUGAUACGUAGGCAGCGAGCGUUGUUCGGAGUUACUGGGCGUAAAGAGUGCGUAGGCGGCGAGCCAAGUUUGGUGUGAAAUCUCCCGGCUUAACCGGGAGGGUGCGCCGAAAACUGGUUGGCUGGAGUAUGGGAGAGGAAAGCGGAAUUCCUGGUGUAGCGGUGAAAUGCGUAGAUAUCAGGAGGAACACCUGCGGUGUAGACAGCUUUCUGGACCAAAACUGACGCUGAGGCACGAAAGCGUGGGUAGCAAACA